This is a long non-coding RNA of Bos taurus (domestic cattle), 540 nucleotides long. The record is from Ensembl. Lineage: Eukaryota; Metazoa; Chordata; Mammalia; Artiodactyla; Bovidae.
CAAAAUAAAACAUGUUUUUAAAAUCGGGAGUGGGGAGGAAGACUCCUGUCAAGAAGACAGUGGGUGCUAAAACACGUGAUAUAGCCUCGUUCCAGAAGAAUCUGUAAAUAUUUGCACUUGCUGGAGAAGCUUAUGUUGAUGCGUCGGUAAAUUGAAUAUAUAUUUUUAUGAGAAGAACAAAGUUGGUGUGUUGCUUAAUAAUUAACAUCCACGCACAAACAACUUGACUCUCUUAAAAAAAAAAAGCAGUUUAUGAAGCCAUUGGACAGAGAAGUCGGAAGGAAAUCAGAACAGAAAUACAAACAAAUCGCUGGCCACAGGCAUUAGUUUCUGCCAGUCAAUAAUGUGUUAAUAUACUGCAUAUUUAGAAAACAAAAUGAAACCAACAAUUAUGGGAAGAGGAAAGAAAAGCCUACAACAAAUGAACUGAUUGUAUUUCAAGUGAAUUCUACUUCUGUAGUGAAGAAGAUAAAAACAAAAUGAAGAACUAAUCCAAGUAACUUUCGAGCACAGUGUUGGACUGGACCCCUGCCGCCUUGG